This 496-nucleotide ribosomal RNA is filed under the name uncultured bacterium. Its description in RNAcentral is "partial 16S ribosomal RNA". It matches the Rfam family "Bacterial small subunit ribosomal RNA", at positions 29 to 507 of the family's 1533-position model. The record is from RNAcentral.
AUGAACGCUGGCGGCGUGCCUAAUACAUGCAAGUCGAGCGAACAGACGAGGAGCUUGCUCCUCUGACGUUAGCGGCGGACGGGUGAGUAACCCGUGGAUAACCUACCUAUAAGACUGGGAUAACUUCGGGAAACCGGAGCUAAUACCGGAUAAUAUAUUGAACCGCAUGGUUCAAUAGUGAAAGACGGUUUUGCUGUCACUUAUAGAUGGAUCCGCGCCGCAUUAGCUAGUUGGUAAGGUAACGGCUUACCAAGGCGACGAUGCGUAGCCGACCUGAGAGGGUGAUCGGCCACACUGGAACUGAGACACGGUCCAGACUCCUACGGGAGGCAGCAGUAGGGAAUCGUCCGCAAUGGGCGAAAGCCUGACGGAGCAACGCCGCGUGAGUGAUGAAGGUCUUCGGAUCGUAAAACUCUGUUAUUAGGGAAGAACAAAUGUGUAAGUAACUAUGCACGUCUUGACGGUACCUAAUCAGAAAGCCACGGCUAACUACGUG